AGUGAACGCUGGCGGUAGGCCUAACACAUGCAAGUCGAACGGCAGCACAGUAAGAGCUUGCUCUUACGGGUGGCGAGUGGCGGACGGGUGAGGAAUACAUCGGAAUCUACUUUUUCGUGGGGGAUAACGUAGGGAAACUUACGCUAAUACCGCAUACGACCUACGGGUGAAAGCAGGGGAUCUUCGGACCUUGCGCGAUUGAAUGAGCCGAUGUCGGAUUAGCUAGUUGGCGGGGUAAAGGCCCACCAAGGCGACGAUCCGUAGCUGGUCUGAGAGGAUGAUCAGCCACACUGGAACUGAGACACGGUCCAGACUCCUACGGGAGGCAGCAGUGGGGAAUAUUGGACAAUGGGCGCAAGCCUGAUCCAGCCAUACCGCGUGGGUGAAGAAGGCCUUCGGGUUGUAAAGCCCUUUUGUUGGGAAAGAAAAGCAGCAGGUUAAUACCCCGCUGUUCUGACGGUACCCAAAGGAUAAGCACCGGCUAACUUCAUG
This 492-nucleotide ribosomal RNA is filed under the name uncultured bacterium. RNAcentral's name for it is "partial 16S ribosomal RNA". It matches the Rfam family "Bacterial small subunit ribosomal RNA", at positions 29 to 507 of the family's 1533-position model. The record is from RNAcentral.